UACGGGGGGGGCAAGCGUUGUUCGGAAUUACUGGGCGUAAAGGGCUCGUAGGUGGCCAACUAAGUCAGACGUGAAAUCCCUCGGCUUAACCGGGGAACUGCGUCUGAUACUGGAUGGCUUGAGGUUGGGAGAGGGAUGCGGAAUUCCAGGUGUAGCGGUGAAAUGCGUAGAUAUCUGGAGGAACACCGGUGGCGAAGGCGGCUCUCUGGACCACUACUGACGCUGAGGCGCGAAAGCUAGGGGAGCAAACAGG
Molecule: ribosomal RNA, 253 nt
Filed under: uncultured bacterium
Lineage: Bacteria
Description: partial 16S ribosomal RNA
Rfam family: Bacterial small subunit ribosomal RNA
Source: RNAcentral